GCCGCAGUAGCUCAUUGGGAGAGCGCUCGUCUGAAAAGCGAGAGGUAGAGAGUUCGAUCCUCUCCUGCGGCACCA
RNAcentral lists this transfer RNA (75 nucleotides) under Candidatus Giovannonibacteria bacterium RIFCSPHIGHO2_02_43_16. RNAcentral's name for it is "tRNA-Phe". It matches the Rfam family "tRNA". Rfam says of the family: Transfer RNA (tRNA) molecules are approximately 80 nucleotides in length. Their secondary structure includes four short double-helical elements and three loops (D, anti-codon, and T loops). Lineage: Bacteria; Candidatus Giovannoniibacteriota. The record is from RNAcentral.